Molecule: ribosomal RNA, 425 nt
Filed under: uncultured bacterium
Lineage: Bacteria
Description: bacterial SSU rRNA
Rfam family: Bacterial small subunit ribosomal RNA
Source: RNAcentral
UCGGGAAUUUUGGACAAUGGGCGCAAGCCUGAUCCAGCCAUGCCGCGUGCGGGAAGAAGGCCUUCGGGUUGUAAACCGCUUUUGUCAGGGAAGAAAUCCCUUGAGUUAAUACCUCGGGGGGAUGACGGUACCUGAAGAAUAAGCACCGGCUAACUCCGUGCCAGCAGCCGCGGUAAUACGGGGGGAGCAAGCGUUGUUCGGAUUUACUGGGCGUAAAGGGCGCGUAGGCGGCGCAACAAGUCACUUGUGAAAUCUCCGGGCUCAACCCGGAGCGGCCAAGUGAUACUGUCGUGCUAGAGUGCGGAAGGGGCAACUGGAAUUCUCGGUGUAGCGGUGAAAUGCGUAGAUAUCGAGAGGAACACCUGCGGCGAAGGCGGGUUGCUGGGCCGACACUGACGCUGAGGCGCGAAAGCCAGGGGAGCGAA